Molecule: transfer RNA, 307 nt
Filed under: Oscillatoria sancta PCC 7515
Lineage: Bacteria; Bacillati; Cyanobacteriota; Cyanophyceae; Oscillatoriales; Oscillatoriaceae
Description: partial 16S-23S ribosomal RNA intergenic spacer
Rfam family: tRNA (bases 71-143)
Source: RNAcentral
UGUUAGAGCGCACCCCUGAUAAGGGUGAGGUCCCUGGUUCAAGUCCAGGAUGGCCCACCUAACCGAACAAGGGGGUAUAGCUCAGUUGGUAGAGCGCUGCCUUUGCAAGGCAGAAGUCAGCGGUUCGAGUCCGCUUACCUCCAGGCCAGGAAAUGUUCAGAACUCAGCAACUAGACCUGAAUUGUUCAAGUCAUGCUGCUGGGCUACUAAUGUCCAGCCAGAACCUUGAAAACUGCAUAGUCAAUCAGUCAAAGUCACUCAAAGAGAGGUUAGUCAAUAGCUAACCAUUUCAUGAGGUGCAGAAAGU